UAUUCAAUAGACCGAUAGUGACAGCAAACGACGCCAUAUUUUUCCCCACUACGUUGACAUUUCUCUUCAGUACGGUUUGCUAUUUGAUCAUGGAAAGAUAUACGAUCCAACAACUAGUCGAAAUUAUUAAAACUUACUAUCGAAAUUCGUAGUCAGUGGCCUUAACUUCAAGAGCGGGUGUUUUCAAAAAGAGCGUCACAAAAGUUUUUUUUUAAUAAAACAAAAACGAUUUAAACUGGAUAUCAAAGAAAUUCUUUAUUCUUGUGUGAGUACAUCUGUACGUACUCCAUGGUGGUUUCGUGCGGUUUAUGGCCCAGCGGCGUCAUUGGGCAGUACUUUUUCCGUGAUUAUCAAGACAAGCACGUUACUGUAAACGAGAAUCACUACCACUCAAUGAUAACCGAUACGUGGAUAACAGGAUGGCGCCACAAGCUACACAGCGAAUGUCGCAAUUGAUUUAUUGAAAACCAAAUUUGGUGAACGUGUUAUCUCAUGAAAUGGCCCAGUCAAUUGGCCGCCUUGGUUGUAAGAUUUGACGCCGUUAGACUAUUUCCUGUGGGGCUACGUCAAGUCUAUGGUCUAUGGCAACAAACCAGCGACGAUUGAUGAACUUCGUAGGAAUAUCGAACGUGAAAAUGGUAUCGGCCGAUUUAUGCUUGAAAAGCGUGCCCGGGGUGGCCAUACAAAAGAAAUCGAUUUCCAUACAUAAUGGCAUUGAAUGUACUUUCACAGGAAUACAGAAUUUCAUUGAUAUCCCAAGCAGUUUUUGUCUAAUUUGCAUACAUUUUCCCCGAUAUGUAUUUAUUCAAUAUACAUACAUGUAUUCUACCGGUUUUAUAUAAACAUAUAAAAGUUAUAUGUAAAUUCAACUACCAUUCACAGGGUAUAUACGUACAUUACUAAUCAUGCCGACAAGGGAGACAUUACAUGUACAUAUACUAGCUUAUGGCAAGAAUUCUACUUGAACUUUCAUUUGCCUCCUGCUCCUAAUUUAUUGGAAUGCCAGAUUAUGCUUUAAUGCAAUUCUUUUCGCCCAAAUUAAACACAAAAUAGGUAUUUUUAUUAAAGCUAUUAAGCCAACUGUUAAACUUAAAAUUUUAAAUUGUUAUAUGGCUUGGUCUGAUUGUAUCAUUUAAUUUUUUUUUUAACUAAGCUUUUUUUGUCUUAUCAUUCGUCAUCAUUUGGAAUGUAUAAACAAAUCUGGCAUCAUUUUUUUUUGAAUUUGCAAUUGUAAGAGUUGCAGUGCGCAUGCGUUUAAUGCCGUUAGCGUUUGUACAGUUAUAUAUAUUUAUGCAUGUACGUAUAUAUAUAUUUGUAAUAAAGCGAAGUUAAAAACCACUUGAAACUAUUUAUUAAUUAAGUUUUUCCCUGUUUCCUGCAACAUCAGCCAUCGAAAAUCGUUGGCACCCCAAUGCAGGAAUUUAGGAAUUCAUCUAAUUUCUUGUUUAAUAUGAAAGGAAUUUGCAAAGUAAGAGGUGGAGCCGGAAGAUUUAUAGUUAAUUUUUAUAAGAUUAAAUAUACGUUAUUAGGAUGUUUUCUUUAGCCUUUUCGGGACGGAGUUUUAUUUAGAAAAUGGGAAUAGCCACAACCAAAAUUUAUGCUUAUAUCUAUAUAUUGGGCUAAAAAAUUAUGUUCUGCAUACUCAAAAUUCCCAAAAUCGUUCUUUUAUCCUGGGACAUAUGUAUAAUCCCAAUAAGCAUUUUCUGUGGGAUAUAAAAUCCCAAUCAUUUUUUUAUCCUUCAUAAAAGGAAUAGAUAAAAGUUGAAUUUAUAAAAUAAUAAGCUUUAUUUCGAACAAAAGUGA
Molecule: long non-coding RNA, 1803 nt
Organism: Bactrocera neohumeralis
Lineage: Eukaryota; Metazoa; Arthropoda; Insecta; Diptera; Tephritidae
Exons: 3
Source: RefSeq, a predicted model, not a curated record